UAGAGAGCACCAGGGGCCUUUUUUUAGCAUUUCUUCUGUUGAGCGUUUUGUACGGGUUUCUCAUUCAUGCAGCCAGGGCUCUUGCUGGGCACCGCGGAGAAGAACAAGCACUCACUGUGGCUGGGCCCCUGCCUCUCCUGGCCAGGAGAAUCCAAAGCUCCACUGCCUGCGCCCCCUCAAAUUUCAAGUCCCCCUACACCCCACCACCAAUCCUUCUGGCCCCUGUCUCUCUGCCUGCCUCUCCUGCUAGUCUGCUCUCCAAAACCCACUUGGGCUACAUGGGCGCCUCACGUACCAGGCACCAUCCUAUCCCAGGGAGAAGAAAGGAUCAAAGGAAUAAAGUGGAGAUGAAAAGAAUGUCAAAAUAUAACAGAGGCACCUCCAUAAAAAAAGAGGUUCUCUGUUCCCUGCCCCACCUAAUGAGGGGCAGAGCUGAGUGGCCAGGUAAAGCUAUAAGACACUUAGAGCAGAGAGACCCAUGGAGGAGAAGGGCAUGCUUGCUUCUCAGCUUUGGACUUGCACCAGGGACUUGGGGGACAUGGAAGGAGACAUGUGGAGUCGAGACAUGUAGAAUCUUGUGGGUGAGAGACCUAUGGGGAGUUACAAUGGCAACCAAU
Long non-coding RNA from Talpa occidentalis (Iberian mole), 617 nucleotides. RefSeq lists it as uncharacterized. The record is from RefSeq and is a predicted model, not a curated record. The transcript has 3 exons. Lineage: Eukaryota; Metazoa; Chordata; Mammalia; Eulipotyphla; Talpidae.